ACGGGUGAGUAAUGCUUAGGAAUCUGCCUAUUAGUGGGGGACAACAUCUCGAAAGGGAUGCUAAUACCGCAUACGUCCUACGGGAGAAAGCAGGGGACCUUCGGGCCUUGCGCUAAUAGAUGAGCCUAAGUCGGAUUAGCUAGUUGGUGGGGUAAAGGCCUACCAAGGCGACGAUCUGUAGCGGGUCUGAGAGGAUGAUCCGCCACACUGGGACUGAGACACGGCCCAGACUCCUACGGGAGGCAGCAGUGGGGAAUAUUGGACAAUGGGGGGAACCCUGAUCCAGCCAUGCCGCGUGUGUGAAGAAGGCCUUUUGGUUGUAAAGCACUUUAAGCGAGGAGGAGGCUACCGAGAUUAAUACUCUUGGAUAGUGGACGUUACUCGCAGAAUAAGCACCGGCUAACUCUGUGCCAGCAGCCGCGGUAAUACAGAGGGUGCAAGCGUUAAUCGGAUUUACUGGGCGUAAAGCGCGCGUAGGUGGCCAAUUAAGUCAAAUGUGAAAUCCCCGAGCUUAACUUGGGAAUUGCAUUCGGUACUGGUUGGCUAGAGUAUGGGAGAGGAUGGUAGAAUUCCAGGUGUAGCGGUGA
This 587-nucleotide ribosomal RNA is filed under the name uncultured bacterium. RNAcentral describes it as "bacterial SSU rRNA". It matches the Rfam family "Bacterial small subunit ribosomal RNA", at positions 102 to 684 of the family's 1533-position model. The record is from RNAcentral.